GACGAACGCUGGCGGCGUGCCUAAUACUUGCAAGUCGAGCGCAGGAAGCUGACGGAACUCUUCGGAGAGAAGGCAGUGGAAUGAGCGGCGGACGGGUGAGUAACACGUAAGGAACCUGCCUCAAGGAUUGGGAUAACUCCGAGAAAUCGGAGCUAAUACCGGAUAGUUCAACGGACCGCAUGGUCCGCUGAUGAAAGGCGCUUCGGCGUCACCUUGAGAUGGCCUUGCGGUGCAUUAGCUAGUUGGGGGGGUAACGGCCCACCAAGGCGACGGUGCGUAGCCGACCUGAGAGGGUGAUCGGCCACACUGGGACUGAGACACGGCCCAGAAUCCUACGGGAGGCAGCAGUAGGGAAUCUUCCACAAUGGACGAAAGUCUGAUGGAGCAACGCCGCGUGAGUGAUGAAGGUUUUCGGAUCGUAAAACUCUGUUGUAAGGGAAGAACACGUACGAGAGGUAAUGCUCGUACCUUGACGGUACCUUACGAGAAAGCCACGGCUAACUACGUGCCAGCCGCCGCCGUAA
Molecule: ribosomal RNA, 524 nt
Filed under: uncultured bacterium
Lineage: Bacteria
Description: partial 16S ribosomal RNA
Rfam family: Bacterial small subunit ribosomal RNA
Source: RNAcentral